This 530-nucleotide ribosomal RNA is filed under the name uncultured Vibrio sp. Its description in RNAcentral is "bacterial SSU rRNA". It matches the Rfam family "Bacterial small subunit ribosomal RNA", at positions 63 to 572 of the family's 1533-position model. Lineage: Bacteria; Pseudomonadati; Pseudomonadota; Gammaproteobacteria; Vibrionales; Vibrionaceae. The record is from RNAcentral.
CGAGCGGAAACGACACUAACAAUCCUUCGGGUGCGUUAAUGGGCGUCGAGCGGCGGACGGGUGAGUAAUGCCUAGGAAAUUGCCUUGAUGUGGGGGAUAACCAUUGGAAACGAUGGCUAAUACCGCAUAAUGCCUACGGGCCAAAGAGGGGGACCUUCGGGCCUCUCGCGUCAAGAUAUGCCUAGGUGGGAUUAGCUAGUUGGUGAGGUAAUGGCUCACCAAGGCGACGAUCCCUAGCUGGUCUGAGAGGAUGAUCAGCCACACUGGAACUGAGACACGGUCCAGACUCCUACGGGAGGCAGCAGUGGGGAAUAUUGCACAAUGGGCGAAAGCCUGAUGCAGCCAUGCCGCGUGUAUGAAGAAGGCCUUCGGGUUGUAAAGUACUUUCAGUUGUGAGGAAGGGUGUGUAGUUAAUAGCUGCGCAUCUUGACGUUAGCAACAGAAGAAGCACCGGCUAACUCCGUGCCAGCAGCCGCGGUAAUACGGAGGGUGCGAGCGUUAAUCGGAAUUACUGGGCGUAAAGCGCAUGC